AACGAAAAACGAAAAAAAAACUACGUAGCACACGUACUGUAGCAGACUUCUCUGUAAAAGUUAAAACAUGCUUUUAGAAGUUCUAUCAAUCCCGCGAGGAGCAGCCAUCACUUAAACCUUAAACCACAAAAAUCCAAAUUCCUCCAACUUCAUAAACCGCUUCUUUUUGCAUAUCACAAUUCUACAUAAUUUACUCAAUCCAAUUCGCAAUUGAGAAAUCGGAAUUUAAAAAUUUCCUUAACCACCAUUCACAAUCACCAGCGACCGUGGUUACUCGCGACCGCUUUCUUGAUUCGUAAUCACCAGCGACUAAGCUUGCUAGAUGUCGUUCUUCUGCUUUCUUCGUCACUGGCGGGAGCUAACAUCCACCGGGGAGCAGUCAUCGUGCCUCCCUCUCUUAGAGUUGGUUAUUUUCUCUUCUUUAAUAUACUAUGCAUUGUAGUCCCAACCAAAAUUGAAUUGUCGAAAGGAGUAGGUUUUUUUUUUCGUGUGGCUAAUUAGUUUCGUUUUGGUGUAAUUGAUUUAAUAUUUUCUCAUGAUGAAUUUUAAUUUUCCUAUUGUUUUCUUCAUGCUCUCUUUUGCAAUUAUGAGAGCUAAUUAGCUCAAUAUUGUUCAUGCAAUAGGAAUUGCUCUAAAAAGUCAUAAAUUUAGUGAAGUUAAAAGCAUUGGAAAAUUGUUCUAUGAUGGUGAGUGAAUCGAAUUCCUGGAAACAAUUUAGUGAGAGAGAAGAUUGGACGAUCGCUGUUCUUUUUACCUUAAUAGCGCAGGACAGUAAUGAAAUAUAGCAAAUGAAAUAAUCUAGUUUACAUGUAAUAAAGAUUGGUUGACUAUAACUGGGAUCAUCUAAAAGAAGCAACCUCAAUGAUAUUCUCAAUGAUGUUGUGGCAUGGCUCGUUUUGGCCCAUAAUAGGGUGUCUGCUACUGCCCUAAAUUGUUUUCCUAAAAAUAAAUCUGUAAGUUGACUUUUUUGUUUGGGAAUAAUUCUCUACUUGUCUGUAUUCUGUAGUCACUCUUGCAUGUUGAUUAUGUGACUGUCAUACUCAAAGAAUGGUCUUUUUCCUUGUGAGAAACAGGAGCAUUUAACAUCUCAAUAGCUCUAUAAGAAAGGACAGGACCCUCCUUAAUUACAGGUAGAUCAAUCAUGGGAUAUAAGUGAGCUAUGUUACCCAUGAGAGAUUGAGAAAUGGACUAUGACAAUCAACCUAUUAGCGAGUAUAUAUUGCCCUUAGGUAUGAAAACCCUCUAACUCGACUCCCUCAUCUCUUUGAUACUGUUUAUGAUUUUAUUUUUUGCUGUUGGUAAUUAAAACAGAAACUUGGACUACCUUUACUACUUUCUUAGCAUCAUUAUAGCAGUUUGUGUACAGGUUACUUGCAUCAGGUUCAAUACAAUGAUAUACAGUUUGGGUAUAGUAUUGUACACUUUCUUAGAUAAGUUAUGAAGCUUUCUAGUUUGAUAAAAUAAGAUCAAUGAAUUAGAGUAAUGAAAUCUUAUAUAGGAUUCAGGAUCUUGGUUUUCCUUAAAUCUUUAGAGCAAUGUUCACUUAUCAAACACUAGCCUAAACCACCCAGACGAGUGUAACGGAGUUUAAGCCCAAACAGUAGAAGUAUAAGUGUAUAACGUAGUUCAAUCAUGCAACACAAUCAACCCACCAUUACCGCUUUAUGCUCCCAAAAGUCAUCUUCACUUUGUAAUCGUUUCAAUCUAAUUUAAUUUCUAAAUCAUCUUUCAACAGAGAGAAAAAGAAAAAACUUCUAAUUAAGAAUUGGAUUUUAUGAUCAAAGAAAAACUAAAACUGUGCAAGCAACUAAUAGUUUCAAGAAUCACAAGGUCUAUCUUUAUUUAACAUAGCCUGUUUUAAACACAUCAAUGAAAAUUUUGAGUUCUAUCAAUAUGACAGAGGCAAUGCUUUGCCCUAUCAAUGGAAGCAGCCUUGCUUACAGGAUACCUGGUUAGUGGAGGUUAGAAUUCAGUAGCAUUACAUCUUUUCCCAUACUCUUUGCUUGUAUCCAAGUUCUUGUUAGCGACCUAUAUUUUAUUCCUCUUAUGUAUCCUUGUGUGUUUGAAGAUUGAAUAUAUGCCAAGCGUUCCAUUAUCAUAGUGACCCUUGAUUCAACAUGUUCAAAAGUUGCGAAUGGCCAGUUAUCAAAAGAUUGAUCCACUCACGAAUUCGACAUGGAUGACCAAGCUAAAGUGUCUAGCUGUGGGUUAAGCAAAAUAAAAAGUCUUUGUUCUUCCAUCAUGAUUCGUAUGACAGCGAUCCAUCAAAUUUUGGGAAUUCAAACAGAGUGGCAAGUGCAACAAAUGAUAUAGGUUGGCAUCGCAACAGAUUCAACCUUUGGAUUGGACCAGCUUAGGUAACCUUUGUCCACGCUUCUUGUGCUUGAUUCAAGACAGCAUACACUCAUUAAUGUUCUGUUCCAAAACAUGAUUUACUCUCUCUAAGCUCAUAUUUACAGUGUGUGAUUAGUGGAUCCAAUCCUUCACACAAAGUUCUCACAUUUCGUGCACGUUGCUCGUACCAAGUAUGCAGGUUGCCAAGUUCAGCGCGUCUCUCACAGCAGGUCUUACCGGGUCAGGAUGAUGAUUGAUAAAAUGUGGCAACUUUACAAACGUACUUUCUUGGGAUUCCUAGACUUAUUCGCAAGAGGUGAUUGACGAGCUAAACCAAACACAAGACAAUGGAGAUUGAAGCCGAUGGUCACGUUUGAAUUGUACAUUUUAUUUAAUUAUUUUAGAAUUUUAGUUUUAGUCGAUAGCAUUAGAUUAUAGAAACUUUAUUUUUAAGACAUUGGAAGAAAUAUAUUUUUGAGUGAAAUUGGUUUUGUAUAUGAAUUAAAUGAUGCAAAGAUUUAUUUUGACAUGAUGAAUAAAGCAAAAAGGAACUUCUAUUUAAUAA
Long non-coding RNA from Beta vulgaris subsp. vulgaris (sugar beet), 2899 nucleotides. RefSeq lists it as uncharacterized. The record is from RefSeq and is a predicted model, not a curated record. The transcript is spliced from 4 exons. Lineage: Eukaryota; Viridiplantae; Streptophyta; Magnoliopsida; Caryophyllales; Amaranthaceae.